This 612-nucleotide ribosomal RNA is filed under the name uncultured bacterium. Its description in RNAcentral is "bacterial SSU rRNA". The stretch from base 1 to 519 matches the Rfam family "Bacterial small subunit ribosomal RNA", at positions 338 to 873 of the family's 1533-position model. The record is from RNAcentral.
CCUACGGGAGGCAGCAGUGGGGAAUAUUGCACAAUGGGCGAAAGCCUGAUGCAGCGACGCCGCGUGAGGGAUGACGGCCUUCGGGUUGUAAACCUCUUUCAGCAGGGAAGAAGCGAAAGUGACGGUACCUGCAGAAGAAGCGCCGGCUAACUACGUGCCAGCAGCCGCGGUAAUACGUAGGGCGCAAGCGUUGUCCGGAAUUAUUGGGCGUAAAGAGCUCGUAGGCGGCUUGUUGCGUCGGUUGUGAAAGCCCGGGGCUUAACCCCGGGUCUGCAGUCGAUACGGGCAGGCUAGAGUGUGGUAGGGGAGAUCGGAAUUCCUGGUGUAGCGGUGAAAUGCGCAGAUAUCAGGAGGAACACCGGUGGCGAAGGCGGAUCUCUGGGCCAUUACUGACGCUGAGGAGCGAAAGCGUGGGGAGCGAACAGGAUUAGAUACCCUGGUAGUCCACGCCGUAAACGUUGGGAACUAGGUGUUGGCGACAUUCCACGUCGUCGUGCGCNGCUACGCAUAGUUCCCGCCGUCGGGAGGUACGGCCGCGAGACGUAAACGUACGAACUAGUAAGUUAGUACGGCGUUGUAGACGUUGCCGACGGACGACGACGAGGGAGGAGG